Molecule: long non-coding RNA, 2877 nt
Organism: Centruroides sculpturatus (bark scorpion)
Lineage: Eukaryota; Metazoa; Arthropoda; Arachnida; Scorpiones; Buthidae
Exons: 3
Source: RefSeq, a predicted model, not a curated record
UUUAUGAAACUUGACAAAAAUGAUAACUUUUUAAUUAUAAAAUAUUCAAGUUUUCCUCCCAAGGUUUCUUCCUCAUUGCUGGGAUACUAGUUCAAACUGCAUAGAUAUUUUCUUGUGAUGCUGUUAUGUAGUUCACUUCACUUUUAAAGUAUACUGAAAAAAAAAAACUGGAAACCUUAAUCUAAUUUCUUUAUAGAUUAUUAUUACUGAAAUAACUAUACUUGCAAUGUUGUCAUCAUUAAGACCUUAUCUGCUUAUUUUAUCAAGUGUAAUUUAUCAAUUUUAUCUGAUAAAUUUAAAUGAUUCUUUAUUAUAUGGAACACUUUUCUUAUAUCAAAUUGCAGUUCAUGAGGACUGUUUUACAAAAGUGUAGUGAUUAGUUAGUGUGAAAAGUUUUUCAAAAAUGAUUGUACAAUAACUAGUCAUAUUACAGACUAACAACUAAAUUAAAUACUAAAUUAAUGCAUGUGUAUUGACUAUGGCUAUAUCGAAAUGUAGCCAGUCUAUUUAUGGGGUAACUUGAUUGAGGACUUUACAAAUAAAUGACACUUGUUGGUGGAAGAAUUAAUUUAAUGCUAAAUCAAAGAAUAAAAUUUACAAAACAGCUAGCGGACUUACACAGUAUUCUUACAAUUAUACAAAUUUCUUAAUCUCAUCCACUAAUUACAAAGAGAUUGCUUGAGAUCACAAUGUUACUAAUAUGCACUUAUUCUAAAGAUCUAUACAAAUAUUUACAUGGUGAUAUGCUCGGUAGUUCCAUACUCUUAACACAAUUACUUGAUGAAAUUGAUGUUCUUUGUUUACACACGUGGUCAAAGCUUAAUUAACAAACAAAAUUAUAAAAUGUCGAAUUGGGGAAAUAAUUGUCCCAAUGAGUGAGCCUAAUUCUUACAUAUAUUUUUAAUCAAAUUACUUGCCAGUUGCGGUCAAAUCCAGAUCGAUGGGGUUGGCUUGUCCUUUAGCACACAAUAGUUCAAUCUCCUAUCUUUACUCUUUGAUUCUUACACAAAACUCUCCACUCAUUUAUUCCAAUUAUUCUCAUUUAUUUGUCAAUUUUUGGAGUGUACAGGAACAUGAUGGGAGCUCAGAUGGGAGCUCAAAAGUCCAGUCCAGUCUCAAGAGUCCAAGAAGGAAAAAAAAGCCCUCUUACACAUGUGACACGUAUUUUUAUAGCUCCCACCAUCCGGGAACAUCACUAUACAUAAUCUGUACUAGACCAAUCUACAUUCACAACUGUGGUGACCCCAAAAGGUGAUACAGAAGUUAUAAAAUACAUAUGCGUAACAAAGAGAAAGAGAGAGAAAAAAAAAACCUGAUACAAUAUCACUUAAGAAUGGAAUAUGAUUAAAAUUUCUUUAUACAACUAAAUAACUAUAGUGGUGGAGCACUACACAUGAUUUGAUUUUUAGUCGAAACUUUCCUAUUCUGAGAGAAUUAAAAAGUUUGUGCAAUGAACCAAGUGCAUUGAAAAGCAAGGAGACUAUGUUAAUUUAAAAAAAAAAUUUUUUUAAUUACUAUUAUAAAUUUUAUAACUACAUGCAUUACAUUUAAUUAUUAAUUCAUCCUCUAGUUUAGCAUAUUCUUUAAAACAUCAUUUAGAAUCAAACAAUAUCUAAAUGUAAACUUUAACAUAUAAAUUGCUUAUCUUAAUCAUGAUUUCAUUCUUUGAAAAGACAGAAAAAACAUGUUUGUUUCAUAUGGAAUCUUUAUAUGUAUCUUAUCAUUCAAUGUGCAAUUCUGUUAUGUAAAAUUAUGGGAACAAACCUGUUCUUUCAUUAAUGAAAUUCAGUUUUUUCUUUGGAAACAGUUGAUAAUUUCAUACAUUACAGGGACAAAUGAUUUUUUUUUUCUUAGUUUCUUUUCUUUCUAAAUAUUUUUCAUAAUUGCAAUACUGAUAUCAGGUUGUAAAAGUGAAAUAUAAACAUUUUGAAAAAACUUCAUUGAUAAUUAACUCAAUAAUUACAGUUUAGUCUUCACAUCUUGCCACCUUUUACUGCAAACUUUCAAUCCCAUAAGCAUAGAAUGACUGGGGUUUUACUUUGAAGAAAACCUCAAGCAUCAGGUAUUGUCACUGAACUGUUAUUGGUUCUACAGAAUGCAAAACCAAUAGUAGUCAGUUGGCACAAAGUUUUGGCUGUAAGGUGGAUGAGACAGAAUCUUUCAGCUCAAAUUGGCCACUUCUCUAAGAUCAUCUUUGUUCUGUGCUGGCAUGUUGUCAUGGUAAUAUUGGACUUUGUCAAUUUUUGGAGUGUACAGGAACAUCCAAGUUUGUUGAAAUUAAAAUACUGUAGUAGAGAUAACAGAGACUUAUCACACUGCUACUGGUAACAUCAAAAUGGCACUUCUAUCAUCAGAAUUGCAGUCACAACUGCUAUAAUGGCUUAUCAAGAUUUUCUUUUCAGAUAUUGCCUGUUUAUAAUGAAUCCUCAUGGUACUGUGCAGUGUGGGUGGAAAUAAAUCUUGAACAGGUUAUGAAUGUCCAACUUUAGAAUCUGGAAAAUUAUAUUUAUAUGGCAUGAGAUUUUGUCCUUAUGUUAACAGAGUUAGAUUAGUUCUCUCAGCCAUGAACAUCGAUUAAAUUUAUUACAAUGUAGACACCACAGUGAUUCUUGUCUUUUUAAUCUAAAAGCAGCUUCAUGUUCUUUUAACCUGGUCUCCAACUUCCUUCCUGUUUCACCUAUGUAAAGUUUCAGUCUUGGACGAGUACACAAUAGCUUGUAAACAACACCUGCAACUUCAAGUUGGUUUUUGGAUGUAUUCUGGUCUUGAUGAAUGUAAUUAAUAUUAUAAAUAAUGAUCUUAUUUUUUUGUUCUGCCACUAUACACACAGAAUAUUUCUUGAAAACUGGUUUAUAUUUUUCAAAUAAAUUAUUUAUA